RNAcentral lists this ribosomal RNA (253 nucleotides) under uncultured bacterium. RNAcentral's name for it is "partial 16S ribosomal RNA". It matches the Rfam family "Bacterial small subunit ribosomal RNA", at positions 524 to 776 of the family's 1533-position model. The record is from RNAcentral.
UACGGGGGGGGCAAGCGUUGUUCGGAAUUACUGGGCGUAAAGAGCGUGUAGGCGGCCAUACAGGUCAGCUGUGAAAACUCGAGGCUCAACCUCGAGACGUCGGUUGAAACCGUUUGGCUAGAGUCCGGAAGAGGAGAGUGGAAUUCCCGGUGUAGCGGUGAAAUGCGCAGAUAUCGGGAAGAACACCCGUGGCGAAGGCGGCUCUCUGGGACGGUACUGACGCUGAGACGCGAAAGCGUGGGGAGCGAACAGG